CGGGGGGAGCAAGCGUUGUUCGGAUUUACUGGGCGUAAAGGGCGCGUAGGCGGCCACCGCAAGUCGGUUGUGAAAUCUCCGGGCUUAACCCGGAAAGGUCAAUCGAUACUGCGGGGCUAGAGUGCAGAAGGGGCAACUGGAAUUCUCGGUGUAGCGGUGAAAUGCGUAGAUAUCGAGAGGAACACCUGCGGCGAAGGCGGGUUGCUGGGCUGACACUGACGCUGAAGCGCGAAAGCUAGGGGGAGCGAACGGGAUUAGAUACCCCGGUAGUCCUAGCCUUAAACGAUGAAUGCUUGGUGUCUGGGGUUUUAUAGUCCCCGGGUGCCGUCGCUAACGCUUUAAGCAUUCCGCCUGGGGAGUACGGUCGCAAGACUG
Molecule: ribosomal RNA, 375 nt
Filed under: uncultured organism
Description: bacterial SSU rRNA
Rfam family: Bacterial small subunit ribosomal RNA
Source: RNAcentral